GAAGAAGUAACAUUUAUUGUGUGCCUGAACAAUUCCAAUCAGAUAGACAAGCAUUCUCUUUCUCAGCUCAGCUUGUUUACAUAUAGACAUUUUCUACUUACUCUCUGAGCCAUUGUGCCAUUAUCCUGCAAUCCACCUAGUCUCGCUAACUGGAUUUCCAGGAUACUUCCUAGGACAGCUCCUCUCUCUCCAUUCCCAUCUUGGUGUCCUGGUUCACUCGCAGCACUGCUCCUAGGCUCUCUCCAGAGUUUCCAUCUUUCUGUUCCAUGUCACAUUCCUCAUUAGUUUCCCUACAUCUGAUCAGACUUUCUCAAUGCCUCAGACUAAUUAUAUGCCAUCGUUUACAUGCACGGAACUCUCAGGAUUAACUGAGCCACUUAUGUCUGUCUGACCUCUCCUACUUUUCCAGCUGGCAUCCUUUUCUGCCACUGCCAGCCAAAGCAUCACUACUCCACCUUUACUAGUAACAAGCAAUUGAAUAAUUCAUAACAGGCAUUUUUUUUUUUUUACAAAAUGAGUAAAGUGCCUCAGUCAACCUCAUGGCUGUCUUUUAAAGUAGCUGCUCCCAUUGUGCCAUCUCAUCUCUACAGAUGGGUAAGUCAAGUCAUGGGGCAGGUAGUUAAUGGUCUAAGGUAGAACCCAAGAAGACCAUCCGCAGAAACUAUUUUUCUAACUGCCUUGCUAUGCUGUCACGUCCUGGGCAGUGGCACUCCCAUUACAUCAUACAUUUCCUAACUCUUCCUCCUGUUCCUUGCUUUGAGCUCCUGUGCACUGUUGGACAGAGUCCUGCACCUGCCUUCUGUGCACUGUGCCACCACCUGCACUGACAUUCAGUGUCUCUCUUUGCACUGUGAUUUCAGCCUCUGCACAUUUCUCUCCUGGACACUGCUGUCUGGGGCAGACCAGGCUUAGCUGUGUCUCUGCUCAAUACAUAACGGUUAGCACACAGAAGAUGCUCAGUAAAUGUUUGUUCACUGAAUAAAGCACCAAUCUCGGACAGAUAGAGCUAUAGUAGUACUACUAAAAGUGAGACUAUUUUAAAGUAACUGUAACUUUAAACACAAAAACCCUUGAUAUGUUCUUUAAAACGAAAAUGCAUUUAUAUAAUAUGAAGUGAAUGUUGAUAAAAUGGCUGAGCCCCAUUGGCUGAUAGAGCAAGGUUUUACUUCAUUCUCUGAUACUUUUGUUGGGGGAGGAAGAAAUAACUAAUAUGCAGCAGAGAGUGAAAAUGUGGAUUGGUACCUCAUACCAUCACAGAUCACUGCUUAAAACAAUGAAUCCCUCAUCAUCGCUUAUAUUGAAAUAAUUACCAAGAGGAAGGCAAGCUGUACUGAAGCAGUAGUGAAAUGGGCUUGUGAGCUUCAUGCAAGAGAUAUAUACAGCAAGUCAUUAUAAUACAUUAGUGACAGUGACACUUCUGGCUUUCAGUUGACAGCUACUCAUCCACGACUUAUCUCUUUCAACAACCAAAAUGAGACGUCACUGCUUUUAAAAAUCACAUUUUGUCAUGUCUCUGUACAUUAAAGCUCUUAACAUGUUAAUCUAAGUGGUUAUUGAUGACUGUAAGAUCAAGUUCCGUUGAAGUUUUGUUGUAAUCAUCACAUUUAAUGGAAAUAACCAUAAGCACAGCAGUGCCUUGUGCUGGAUCAUGCACUAUCACAUGAAUAUCUUCUCCUUUUACUUCGUUAAUAUGCGUACCUUUUACAGAGCAGAAGGCUCACAUACUUACUGAUUCAUGAUUAAGACUUAAUCUGGGAAAGGGGGGGCUUCAGAAAUCAUUUUGAAAAAUUAAGAAAAUAUGAUAAUCCACAUAGCUACUUGACAAUAAGACAAAGAAAAUUUAUGUAUAUUGGUUAAUAAUUUUAAUUGGUAGUCAUUGUAAAUUACAUAUCAUUUUUUAUAAAAAGAAACCAACAGCUGUUUCCUUAUUUUGAUUGUCAAUUGUUUACUAUUUUAUGCAUUUGGUUGUCAAGCACUGCCACUUCUGGAAUGCUUAAUUUACAUCAGCUAAAUAGGUAGAGAUAUGUGGAUUGCAUUGUACUGCCAUGGAUACGCAGAGAGACAAAUAACAGGACCUGCUUUCCAGGCUGUAGAUAGGCCUAGGGAGAUCUUCACUCACAACAUCUUAAGCUGAGUACUCACAAUGAAGCUAAGACACAGUUAUUGUUAUAAUCCAUUUACAAACAAUGUUUUGUGGGCAUAAUCACCAACAUUUAUACUUUAUAAAAUAUAUGUAGCAGAGAGCCAGGCAGAUCUCUGAGUUUGAGGCCAGCCUGGUCUAUACACAGAGUGAGAUCCAGGACAGCCAGGCCUGCACAGAGAAACUCUCUUGAAAAACAGUUUUUCACACAGCAGUGAAAAGAAAAGAAUUAGCAUACUACAAUAUAGAACUGACUUAGAAUAGUCAUGAACGUGGAGUGCUUAAGUCCUGAGGUGGCCUUUUAUUGCCCCAAGCAUGUUUAACAAUUGAUGAAGUGAAUAAAAUUUCAAAUGACAAAGAUGGCUUAAUAAGUUGGCAUUUUGCUUUAAAACAACAACAACAAAAUUCAAAUUCCAUCAUUUCCAGAAAAUAUAUAUACCAACUGAUUGCUCUCAAAUAAGAAAACCAAUUUUAGUAUAAGUAUAUAAUUUGCAUUUCAAUUUGUUUGGAAGGUUGAGGUAUAUUACCAGCCAUAUUUUUGUAUUUUAGAAAUAUUAUUAGGUAGCAUAUGAGGAAAAAUGGGCUAAUUGUUAUGUUCUGCUAUAAAAGUGUUGUUCUGUUAGCUUGUAUUGUCUGG
RNAcentral lists this long non-coding RNA (2777 nucleotides) under Mus musculus (house mouse). RNAcentral describes it as "long non-coding RNA chr13:83638181-83640958". Lineage: Eukaryota; Metazoa; Chordata; Mammalia; Rodentia; Muridae. The record is from RNAcentral.